ACAAGAUUCAGGUGUGACGCAUGGAUAGAGAAAUUUGACCUGAAUCGUGGAUGGUUUUAUGUACACUGUUCAACCUGCGACAAAACGGUUUAUCCGGAGGAAGAUGGGUCAUUGAUGUUCGUUUGCAAGGAUGAUGAAGACAUAACACCCAGUUCUUGUACUCUGUUAAUGCGAUCAUUACGGAUGGAACAACACCAACUGAAGUCACGUUCUUUGAUGAGGGAAUGACUGCCCUCCUGAAAACAAGCUGUGAGGAUUUGAUCUUGAAACAUGGCUACACUGACCCCAAAUCACUGCCACAACAGAUUUCUGACGUUAUAGGCAUUAGGAAAAUAAUGUAUGUCUCUGUUAGAAGGGAAGGUCAUGUCGUAGUCACCAACGUUACAGAUCUCGCUGAGACAUGUGAUGCUCAGGGAAGCAGUGUAGGAACUCUAGCAUCAGCAGUGCCUCCAACAACUCCAGACCCAAAAGUUAACAUCAACAAACGUUCUCAUACUGAUUCACCAGAUGUUGGCCCUGCCACUAAGGCACUGCAGGUAGGAUGAAUCAGUUGGUGACCAGUUUUUUGGGGUAGCUGCUAAUGAUAGUGUAACAGCAGCGUGAAGCCAUGGAAGAAGAUGUAACAGCUCAAGAAACAUGCUUUUGGUACAAGCUAGGGAACUAGCAGAUGAUGUGUUAGUCACUUAACUUGUAUGCCAACCCAAUUAGCUACAUGAACACAACUUUUGUAGAUGUUAUGUAUGUAGUAUG
Long non-coding RNA from Helianthus annuus (common sunflower), 750 nucleotides. RefSeq lists it as uncharacterized. The record is from RefSeq and is a predicted model, not a curated record. NCBI's taxonomy places the organism in Eukaryota, Viridiplantae, Streptophyta, Magnoliopsida, Asterales, Asteraceae. The transcript has 3 exons.